UACGGAGGAUUCGAGCGUUAUCCGGAUUUAUUGGGUUUAAAGGGAACGCAGGCGGACUGGUAAGUAAGAUGUGAAAGCUAACGGCUGAACCGUGAAAUUGCAGUUGAUACUGUUGGUCUUGAGUAUACAUGAGGUGGGCGGAAUUUGUGGUGUAGCGGUGAAAUGCUUAGAUAUCACAAAGAACUCCAAUUGCGAUGUAAGCUCACUGGGGUAAAACUGACGCUGAUGCACGAAGGUGUGGGUAUCAAACAUU
RNAcentral lists this ribosomal RNA (253 nucleotides) under uncultured bacterium. RNAcentral's name for it is "partial 16S ribosomal RNA". It matches the Rfam family "Bacterial small subunit ribosomal RNA", at positions 524 to 776 of the family's 1533-position model. The record is from RNAcentral.